This 497-nucleotide ribosomal RNA is filed under the name uncultured bacterium. Its description in RNAcentral is "partial 16S ribosomal RNA". It matches the Rfam family "Bacterial small subunit ribosomal RNA", at positions 28 to 507 of the family's 1533-position model. The record is from RNAcentral.
GAUGAACGCUGGCGGCGUGCCUAAUACAUGCAAGUCGAGCGAACAGACGAGGAGCUUGCUCCUCUGACGUUAGCGGCGGACGGGUGGGUAACACGUGGAUAACCUACCUAUAAGACUGGGAUAACUUCGGGAAACCGGAGCUAAUACCGGAUAAUAUAUUGAACCGCAUGGUUCAAUAGUGAAAGACGGUUUUGCUGUCACUUAUAGAUGGAUCCGCGCCGCAUUAGCUAGUUGGUAAGGUAACGGCUUACCAAGGCAACGAUGCGUAGCCGACCUGAGAGGGUGAUCGGCCACACUGGAACUGAGACACGGUCCAGACUCCUACGGGAGGCAGCAGUAGGGAAUCUUCCGCAAUGGGCGAAAGCCUGACGGAGCAACGCCGCGUGAGUGACGAAGGUCUUCGGAUCGUAAAACUCUGUUAUUAGGGAAGAACAAAUGUGUAAGUAACUAUGCACGUCUUGACGGUACCUAAUCAGAAAGCCACGGCUAACUACGUG